GGACUACACGGGUAUCUAAUCCUGUUUGCUCCCCACGCUUUCGUGCAUGAGCGUCAGUGUUAGCCCAGGGGGCUGCCUUCGCCAUCGGUGUUCCUCCACAUCUCUACGCAUUUCACUGCUACACGUGGAAUUCCACCCCCCUCUGCCACACUCAAGCCUGCCAGUUAGAAACGCAGUUCCCAGGUUAAGCCCGGGGAUUUCACAUCUCUCUUAGCAGACCGCCUGCGCACGCUUUACGCCCAGUAAUUCCGAUUAACGCCUGCACCCUACGUAUUACCGCGGCUGCUGGCAC
RNAcentral lists this ribosomal RNA (292 nucleotides) under uncultured bacterium. RNAcentral describes it as "partial 16S ribosomal RNA". RNAcentral also lists the same sequence under 1 other name. The record is from RNAcentral.